UGGAUUUCUUUGUGAAUCACCA
Molecule: microRNA, 22 nt
Filed under: Dasypus novemcinctus (nine-banded armadillo)
Lineage: Eukaryota; Metazoa; Chordata; Mammalia; Cingulata; Dasypodidae
Also listed under: 11 other names
Description: Dno-Mir-876-v2_5p (mature (guide))
Source: RNAcentral